This 336-nucleotide unclassified non-coding RNA is filed under the name soil metagenome. RNAcentral describes it as "partial contains 5.8S ribosomal RNA, internal transcribed spacer 2, and large subunit ribosomal RNA". The stretch from base 1 to 120 matches the Rfam family "5.8S ribosomal RNA", at positions 35 to 154 of the family's 154-position model. The record is from RNAcentral.
GAUGAAGAACGUAGCGAAAUGCGAUAAGUAAUGUGAAUUGCAGAAUUCAGUGAAUCAUCGAAUCUUUGAACGCACAUUGCGCCCGCCAGUAUUCUGGCGGGCAUGCCUGUUCGAGCGUCAUUUCAACCAUCAAGCCCCCGGGCUUGUGUUGGGGACCCGCGGCUGCCGCAGGCCCUGAAAAGCAGUGGCGGGCUCGCUGUCACACCGAGCGUAGUAGCAUACAUCUCGCUCUGGGCGUGCUGCGGGUUCCGGCCGUUAAACCACCUUUUAACCCAAGGUUGACCUCGGAUCAGGUAGGAAGACCCGCUGAACUUAAGCAUAUCAAUAAGCGGAGGA